AGGGGCAGCGGGGUUGAAGCUUGCUUCAACCGCCGGCGACCGGCGCACGGGUGAGUAACGCGUAUGCAACCUGCCUGAUACCGGGGUAUAGCCCAUGGAAACGUGGAUUAACACCCCAUAGUACUUUUAUCCUGCAUGGGAUGUGAGUUAAAUGUUCAAGGUAUCGGAUGGGCAUGCGUCCUAUUAGUUAGUUGGCGGGGUAACAGCCCACCAAGACGAUGAUGGAUAGGGGUUCUGAGAGGAAGGUCCCCACAUUGGAACUGAGACACGGUCCAAACUCC
This 281-nucleotide ribosomal RNA is filed under the name uncultured bacterium. Its description in RNAcentral is "partial 16S ribosomal RNA". It matches the Rfam family "Bacterial small subunit ribosomal RNA", at positions 65 to 339 of the family's 1533-position model. The record is from RNAcentral.